This 419-nucleotide ribosomal RNA is filed under the name bacterium enrichment culture clone ALO1_GLFRUDD03G9ERW. RNAcentral's name for it is "bacterial SSU rRNA". It matches the Rfam family "Bacterial small subunit ribosomal RNA", at positions 9 to 429 of the family's 1533-position model. The record is from RNAcentral.
GAGUUUGAUCGUGGCUCAGAUUGAACGCUGGCGGCAUGCCUUACACAUGCAAGUCGAACGGCAGCACGGGAGCUUGCUCCUGGUGGCGAGUGGCGAACGGGUGAGUAAUGCAUCGGAACGUAUCCUGGAGUGGGGGAUAACGUAGCGAAAGUUACGCUAAUACCGCAUAUUCUGUGAGCAGGAAAGCGGGGGACCUUCGGGCCUCGCGCUCUUGGAGCGGCCGAUGUCGGAUUAGCUAGUUGGUGAGGUAAAGGCUCACCAAGGCGACGAUCCGUAGCAGAUCCUGAGAGGAUGAUCUGCCACACUGGAACUGAGACACGGUCCAGACUCCUACGGGAGGCAGCAGUGGGGAAUUUUGGACAAUGGGGGCAACCCUGAUCCAGCCAUGCCGCGUGAGUGAAGAAGGCCUCGGUUGUAAG